Molecule: ribosomal RNA, 253 nt
Filed under: uncultured bacterium
Lineage: Bacteria
Description: partial 16S ribosomal RNA
Rfam family: Bacterial small subunit ribosomal RNA
Source: RNAcentral
UACAGAGGUCUCAAGCGUUGUUCGGAUUCAUUGGGCGUAAAGGGCUCGUAGGCGGCCAACUAAGUCAGACGUGAAAUCCCUCGGCUUAACCGGGGAACUGCAUCUGAUACUGGAUGGCUUGAGUUCGGGAGAGGGAUGCGGAAUUCCAGGUGUAGCGGUGAAAUGCGUAGAUAUCUGGAGGAACACCGGUGGCGAAGGCGGCAUCCUGGACCGACACUGACGCUGAGGAGCGAAAGCCAGGGGAGCAAACGGG